Molecule: long non-coding RNA, 138 nt
Organism: Zingiber officinale
Lineage: Eukaryota; Viridiplantae; Streptophyta; Magnoliopsida; Zingiberales; Zingiberaceae
Exons: 3
Source: RefSeq, a predicted model, not a curated record
UGAAAAAGGAGAGCUUGGCUUUGUUCUUCUUGGCUACGUAUGGAGAUGGCGAGCCUACUGAUAAUGCUGCCCGGUUCUACAAAUGGUUUACAGAGGGGAAAGAGAGAGGAACCUGGUUGGAAAAUCUUCAAUUUGGUG